RNAcentral lists this ribosomal RNA (253 nucleotides) under uncultured bacterium. RNAcentral's name for it is "partial 16S ribosomal RNA". It matches the Rfam family "Bacterial small subunit ribosomal RNA", at positions 524 to 776 of the family's 1533-position model. The record is from RNAcentral.
UACGAAGGGGGCUAGCGUUGCUCGGAAUUACUGGGCGUAAAGGGCGCGUAGGCGGAUAUCUAAGUUGGGGGUGAAAUCCCGGGGCUCAACCUCGGAAUUGCCUUCAAAACUGGAUAUCUUGAGUUCGGGAGAGGUGAGUGGAACUCCGAGUGUAGAGGUGAAAUUCGUAGAUAUUCGGAAGAACACCAGUGGCGAAGGCGGCUCACUGGUCCGGUACUGACGCUGAUGUGCGAAAGCGUGGGGAGCGAACAGG